Molecule: long non-coding RNA, 623 nt
Filed under: Phoenix dactylifera (date palm)
Lineage: Eukaryota; Viridiplantae; Streptophyta; Magnoliopsida; Arecales; Arecaceae
Description: long non-coding RNA (PDAC_LNC014709)
Source: RNAcentral
AGGCAGUUAAAAGUAAUGGGACAAUGGUCCGAGGAGUGGGAUGUAAGGGCAUUCUGCAUAGAGGCUGGGAACAAAUCUUCCCACUCCUGAGACAUCAGAAAACGUACGGUCCUGUCCGGCAAGCGCCGCCUGUUCUCUACCAUUACUCCUGGUAAAAUUUCUACCCUUCAACUCCAGAUCGAUGAGCUCCAAGGAAAUCCAAAAAGGAUAACCCGUCUCUAACACUUUUGAGUUUUUUCUUAAAAAAAAGAAAUAGUCAAAGAAAAGAUCGUUUAAAUAAGUGAUAGAGCUAAAUGAAAGUUUGACACAACAAGAUAAAUUGGAUAUGUUUAGGGGGAAGAGAGUUGCAAAAUUCCAACCAAGACAUCAAUGUACUUCCCCUCCAGUGUCACUCUUUUCUUAAUGGAUCCUCGCACUAAAUGCCAGGUCCAAGACAUCAAAGAAAAAAAAAAAAAGAACCAGCCCGGAUUGGUGUUGGGAGAGGAAGUGGUCCUCACCUCGACUCCUCUCCUUCCAAUCCCAAUUCCAGGGCUCUUCUCGCUCAUCAUCAAUCUCUCUCUCAUCACCAUGCUUCACUCUCCCUCCCUUUGUCUAUCAAAGCAAGCCAUUGCUAUCGAUCUCAA